RNAcentral lists this ribosomal RNA (520 nucleotides) under uncultured bacterium. Its description in RNAcentral is "partial 16S ribosomal RNA". It matches the Rfam family "Bacterial small subunit ribosomal RNA", at positions 28 to 507 of the family's 1533-position model. The record is from RNAcentral.
GACGAACGCUGGCGGCGUGCCUAAUACAUGCAAGUCGAACGAACUCUCGUGGAGCUUGAAGGUGUGUGCUCCGCGGUGAUAGGGAGUGGAGUGAGUGGCUAACGUACGUGUAAGACGGGGGUAACUUCGCCUAAAGGGAGCUAUAACAGGUGAAAACAUUUACUAAUACCGCAUAAUACCGAACACCGCAUGUGGUGUCGCUGAAAGAUGGUUUCGGCUAUCACUUUAUGAUUGGCCCGCGAAGCAUUAGUUAGUUGGUGAGGUAACGGCUUACCAAGACCACGAUGCAUAGCCGACCUGAGAGGGUAAUCGGCCACACUGGGACUGAGACACGGUCCAGACUCCUACGGGAGGCAGCAGUAGGGAAUCUUCCACAAUGGACGAAAGUCUGAUGGAGCAACGCCGCGUGAGUGAAGAAGGUCUUCGGAUCGUAAAACUCUGUUGUUGGGGAAGAACGUAUCUGAUAGUAACUGUGCAGGUAGUGACGGUACCUAAUCAGAAAGCCACGGCUAACUACGUG